AAACAUAGAUGUGAGGCACUAUGAUCUGGAGAAUGAUUUUCCCAGUGAUAGACAUCCUUUACACUUUGGGUGUGCUGACGCUGUGUUUUUCCCAAAUGUGGGUAACACAGCCACAUAAUUUGUGUGUCUUUUUGUGUACACAGGU
Molecule: small nuclear RNA, 145 nt
Filed under: Dromaius novaehollandiae (emu)
Lineage: Eukaryota; Metazoa; Chordata; Aves; Casuariiformes; Dromaiidae
Description: U1 spliceosomal RNA (ENSDNVG00000014439.1)
Rfam family: U1 spliceosomal RNA
About the family: U1 is a small nuclear RNA (snRNA) component of the spliceosome (involved in pre-mRNA splicing). Its 5' end forms complementary base pairs with the 5' splice junction, thus defining the 5' donor site of an intron.
Source: RNAcentral